This is a long non-coding RNA of Dermochelys coriacea (leatherback sea turtle), 2870 nucleotides long. RefSeq lists it as uncharacterized. Lineage: Eukaryota; Metazoa; Chordata; Testudines; Dermochelyidae. The record is from RefSeq and is a predicted model, not a curated record. The transcript is spliced from 2 exons.
UGAAUGUUAUAAUUCUUGACGUCUGAUUUGUGUCCAUUUAUUCUUUUACAUAGAGACUGUCCGGUUUGGCCAAUGUACAUGGCAGAGGGGCAUGACUUCGCCAUGAGAGUCUGGGCAGUUAUUUAAUAUUUCUGUGAAAACUGAGCCAUGUUAGUAUGUUUGGGAUAGCAUCUACCUGAUUCAGAGGAAUGUGUUGAGACAUAAUUUAUUUUUGCUGGUAAACACGUAGAGAUUCUAGGAUGCAAGAUGCUUUAAAUAAAAAUGUUAAUUUUAUUCUAAUUAAAAGUAUAUGUCCUAACUGUAUUCAUAGUUGGAAAUGCAAAUAUGUUUAAUGAACGAACCACCUGAGAAAUGUUGGCUAUUGUGGCAUCCAAGGGCUUAAAUAAUAUUUUUGCUGAAGAGAUUUAAUUAGGAGCUUAUUACUGCCCAGCACCAAUAAAAAUAAUGUAAUAUGUAGGAGUUUAAUUAUUUGGAUAAUAGUGGCAUUAAAAUAUCUGCCUGCUAAGAAUUGUCAGAAAUGAAAUUGCAUUACUCUUAGGCUUUAUAAACUUUACUGUAAAACAGGUUGAAAAUAAGAGCAUUUCUGCUGAUCUUGAUGGGAAUGAGCAUCUUUUACAUAUGGCUUCAAUUCACAUUUUAAUCAGAAUGUGGAAGUCAUUAUAAUGACAUCUGAAACUGAGGUAGCAAUAAAAAAAAUUAUCACAAAUAAGACAGCAGACACAAAUUAUUUUGUUUUUAUUACUGGGUGGCCCUUUUUAAACUUCCCAAAGUUAAUUGGUUCCAGAUAUUUGAAAAUUGAAAUUGUAUUAUGACAAAUUUAUUUCUGUUCAUAUUUAACUUGAGCCUCCUCAGUAAGGCUGAUAAAACUUCUCCGUGUACUGUGGUAGUUUUAAUCCUAGUGACUGGUUUAUCAGAAACCACUGUGAAAAUAAACACUAGUAAUUACUGCACUGCGUUUGUAAAUUAUCGAUUCUGUAAGGUACUUCAGAAGUAUAAGUGCUGCUGUGUUGUUUAAAUUGGUCACAAAGAUGCCAUGACAGAUUCAAUGUCUGUGAUGAGAUUACAUAGCUGUUUAAGCAACAUACCCUGCAGUAAAUGAUUAGAAUAUUUUCUCGUAAGACUAACUAUAUCGACAGACUCUUACAUUAAAGUAAUGGUGUGGGAAUGACUGAAGCAGGCUACUCAGAUUCAGACACUUUUAACUCUGUACAGUGCUGUGACCGAUGUACAAUCUUCUCUUAAAAGUUUCUGAUGAUAUCAGUUGUGCCAAACUUCACAUGAACACUAGUUACUAAAUGCACUAUUUGCUGGUGCAGACCAUAAGAGUUUUGGUAGACAAAGCCCUAGAUGCAGAUCUUUUAAAUGAGUCUAUCAAAUGUGAUUUUCAGAAGUGAUUAGUGACUUUAGCUGCUUCAAUUUUUUGAUGCCCAUUUUAGGAUGACUUCAGAUUUUUCAGAGGGUGGGUGCUGAUUUAUUGAAUUGAAUGAUAAAACUCAAUACAUUGAGUUCUUUCAUGAAAAGUCAGGAUUUUUCUAAUUUUGGUCACAAGAUUUUUUUAAUGAAUUUUAACAAAUCUAAUGCUAUACAUGACCAGUACAGGGGAUUAGGAGGUUUUUUAAUUGGUUAAACAUUAAAUAGCUUUAUAAAUGUUUAGUGUAAAAUUAAGGACUUUUGCCUUAAAAUUUGCCAUGAGAAAUAAUAUCAAGAUAUGUGCCAUGACUUUUUUCAAAAUAACAUUGAUACUUGCAGUUUUCUCUAAUACAAAGCCCUGACUCCUUUUUUUUGCAUAACAACCAACCGGUCAACAUUCUUAUACUGGAUGGACAAAAUGUUCAGACUUGGGCUGAGAAUUUGGUUUUCAUUCCUUUGAAUACAAGAAACUCCCGUUGACUUUGCAUUGUGAGAAUAACGUCCUGUGUUGGCAGAGUUCUUAAGCAGAGACUAUAAACAUGUUUUUGGAUGCCACACUGUUUGUACAUUUAAACAAAUAAAAAAUGUCUUAGAGAAAUUUGUCUACAUUGCUAGUUUUACAAUAACUUCUGAAUUGUGUGUUACAUGAGAUAAGUACAGUAUCUAAAGAUUAUUGCUCAUAAUCCUACUCAUGUCAACUCUUUUUGUCCUCUUUCAUAUUCUUGAGUAAUAUACUUCUAUUAUUUAUCUUUUUGAAUAUAACUCUGUUGUAUGCAUUUUUACUAUCAUGGUUGUAUUUACCAAAACUUUAAAUGAAUUUUCUUAAAAAAGAAGCAAAGUUAAAUAUAAACAUUAAAAUCACAAUGCAAACUACAAACCCGUUAAGUUACCAUAGAGUUUAAAAAGAACCUUAAAGAAAUAACUUAAAAUUUUAUGCACUCCUAUAAGAAACAGUUAAACACCAUUUUAAAAGUUUCCUGGACUUAAACCUUUUGUGUCAAUUUUUAUUCCUAAAUUAGUUUUUAUAGCAAAGUUAUAAAUAACUACAUGUUUUUUAUUAGAAACAAUGUCAGACCCUGAACACUAGAGACAAGAGAGGUGCUGCUAUAACUUCUUAACACCCUUUUGAAUUUUUUUCUAAAUGAAAGGACCACAUUCACAAGUGUAUAACUGAACAUGCCAUUUGUUUUUUAAAGGAGCUCCCCUUGCCUCCAAAAGUACCUUCAUAUGUUUAGUUGAGGAGUUGCAGAAUUAAUGUUCAUAUUUGUGAAAAGAGACAGUCUCUGCAUUUUCCAGAAUUAUUGGUAGUGAAAAAAGGUAAAGGAAAUGUUACAUUUGUGGAAGCACGGUUUUAAUCACUAAGAGCCUAUGUACUGUAUGUGUUGUGUUUGUAAAGUUUAUGUAUAAGUGCUAAACUGCAUUGGGGUAAUUUAUGGUGCAAAUAAAUGUCAGUGGCUGAA